Molecule: transfer RNA, 72 nt
Filed under: Hordeum vulgare
Lineage: Eukaryota; Viridiplantae; Streptophyta; Magnoliopsida; Poales; Poaceae
Description: tRNA-OTHER
Source: RNAcentral
GGGUUCCAAGCCCCACUGGUUAGGCUCCACGUUUUCAACUAGGAGGUGUUGGGUUCAAGUCCCAGGAACCCC